GCCCGAUUAGUUCAGCUGGAUAGAAUGUCUGCCUACGGAGCAGAUGGUCGUCCUGCAUCGGGUA
Non-coding RNA from Perkinsus olseni, 64 nucleotides. NCBI's taxonomy places the organism in Eukaryota, Perkinsozoa, Perkinsida, Perkinsidae. The record is from the annotation of a GenBank genome assembly.